GAUGAACGCUAGCUACAGGCUUAACACAUGCAAGUCGAGGGGAAACGGCAUCGAAAGCUUGCUUUUGAUGGGCGUCGACCGGCGCACGGGUGAGUAACGCGUAUCCAACCUGCCCAUCACUUGGGAAUAACCUUGCGAAAGUAAGACUAAUGCCCAAUGACAUCCCACGAAGGCAUCCGAAUGGGAUUAAAGAUUUAUCGGUGAUGGAUGGGGAUGCGUCUGAUUAGCUUGUUGGCGGGGUGACGGCCCACCAAGGCAACGAUCAGUAGGGGUUCUGAGAGGAAGGUCCCCCAAAUUGGAACUGAGACACGGUCCAAACUCCUACGGGAGGCAGCAGUGAGGAAUAUUGGUCAAUGGGCGAGAGCCUGAACCAGCCAAGUAGCGUGCAGGAGGACGGCCCUAUGGGUUGUAAACUGCUUUUAUAAGGGAAUAAAGUGGGUCACGUGUGACUUUUUGCAUGUACCUUAUGAAUAAGGACCGGCUAAUUCCGUG
This 492-nucleotide ribosomal RNA is filed under the name uncultured bacterium. RNAcentral's name for it is "partial 16S ribosomal RNA". It matches the Rfam family "Bacterial small subunit ribosomal RNA", at positions 28 to 507 of the family's 1533-position model. The record is from RNAcentral.